AGAGAUAAGGGGACGAAAAUAGAGGACCAUAUUAUUUUGAUCGUCCCCAAUUACCAAAACUGAUACAGAUGGGGACUUUUAAAAAAAAUUGUCCCCUAUUCUUCGAUUAAUAAAUCAAUAGGGACGACUUUUUAUUCAAUACUUAUCUAAUUAGGUUUUUUGUAAAAUUGGGGACGGAAUUUUUUUUAUAUUAUGGAAUAUUAAAUUGAAAUUGUCUAAAUUAUUUAAUAUUCAAUCGGAGUUCAAAAUUGAAUAAGAUUUGAGAUAAAAUUGAAGAAGAUUGUGUUUAUUCCUUUUGGGUUUCUUCAAGUAUUGCUUGACUGUAUUGAAUUUUUUUAUUUGAUCUGAUUAGGUUGGUGGUUUUAUUUUAGGUUGUGUUGGAAUUUGGUGUAUGUGCUUUUCCCCUAGUGUGGGUUAGGGUUUCUGAUGGGGAGAACCAGUGAAACUAACUGAUAAUUGCGUCAUGCGUUAGAAGCGAACCUAUAUCUUCACCCACAACUGCCGUGCCUAAGAAGCGGCCAUUUUCUCAUUUCUCUGAAGACAACAAUAUAUUGUUGCUCAUGCUCUUUGCUAUGGCAAAGCUUGAUACUGUGGUUCUUCAAUUCCAGAAUUAAAAGCUUGUACUCUUGUAUAGACGUUGGAAGCUCAAAGCGUUGAGUAUUUUGCAUUAGAAAAUAAGUGCUCACAUGUGAAGGAGAAGCAAGAGCCUUCUGAUUCCACAUUGAAAGUUGUCAACAAUUCUCAGGGAUUGUGAUUGCUGAAUUCAAAUUGUAAUAGACAGCCACACUGCCAGAAGUCCAAUUCAAGGAGGCUAUACAAGGAACAUUGGAAGUUUGAAUUUGUCGUAAGGAGGAGAAUGUCUCUCUUAUGCGCCAAAUGAGAUAUUUAGCAAGUAAUGGAGCCAAGCAGAGUAUAGUUCAAGCAGUGCUUGCAGUUUAUGCCCCAAGCGAUGAGGUCGUGUAAUGGUCAAGGAUGUAGCUGUAACUCAGUCUCCUACUAAUAUUCAGCACUUGCUCAAAAUGCUUCUAGCCACUGUUACUUGGAUGUAUGUAUAUUAUGUAAAUGAAUGAUUUUAUUAAAAUUGUAUAUCUUUGAAUUAGUUUAUGAUGAACAUUCUGUUAUUUUACAUAUUUUUGUAAACAAUGUUUACUUUAUUAAUACAAAUAGACAUUGUUGUGUUUA
Long non-coding RNA from Mercurialis annua (annual mercury), 1182 nucleotides. RefSeq lists it as uncharacterized. The transcript is spliced from 5 exons. The record is from RefSeq and is a predicted model, not a curated record. Lineage: Eukaryota; Viridiplantae; Streptophyta; Magnoliopsida; Malpighiales; Euphorbiaceae.